GACGAACGCUGGCGGCGUGCUUAACACAUGCAAGUCGAACGGUGACCCAGGGCUUGCCCUGGUGAUCAGUGGCGAACGGUGAGUAACACGUGGGCAACCUGCCCCUGACUUCGGGAUAACUCCUCGAAAGAGGAGCUAAUACCGGAUACGACCACUUCGGACAUCCGAUGGUGGUGGAAAGUUUUUCGGUCAGGGAUGGGCCCGCGGCCUAUCAGCUAGUUGGUGGGGUAAUGGCCUACCAAGGCGACGACGGGUAGCCGGCCUGAGAGGGCGACCGGCCACACUGGGACUGAGACACGGCCCAGACUCCUACGGGAGGCAGCAGUGGGGAAUAUUGCGCAAUGGGCGAAAGCCUGACGCACGCGACGCCGCGUGAGGGAUGAAGGCCUCGGUGUAACCUCUUUCAGCAGGACGAAGCGAAAGUGACGGUACCUGCAGAAGAAGCACCGGCUAACUACGUGCCAGCAGCCGCGGUAAU
RNAcentral lists this ribosomal RNA (478 nucleotides) under uncultured bacterium. RNAcentral describes it as "bacterial SSU rRNA". It matches the Rfam family "Bacterial small subunit ribosomal RNA", at positions 28 to 524 of the family's 1533-position model. The record is from RNAcentral.